RNAcentral lists this ribosomal RNA (453 nucleotides) under uncultured bacterium. Its description in RNAcentral is "SSU rRNA". It matches the Rfam family "Bacterial small subunit ribosomal RNA", at positions 26 to 518 of the family's 1533-position model. The record is from RNAcentral.
AGGAUAAACGCUGGCGGCGUGCCUAACACAUGCAAGUCGAACGUCCUACGCAAGUAGGGAGUGGCGGACGGGUGAGUAACACGUGGGCAAUCUACCUUUCGGUGAGGAAUACCGGCGAGAAAUCGCCGACAAUACCGCAUACGCUUCGCAAGAAGCAAAGUCGCAAGACGCCGGAGGAGGAGCCUGCGCCCGAUUAGCUCGUUGGUGGAGUAAUGGUCUACCAAGGCGACGAUCGGUAGCUGGUCUGAGAGGAUGAUCAGCCACACUGGGACUGAGACACGGCCCAGACUCCUACGGGAGGCAGCAGUGGGGAAUAUUGGACAAUGGGCGAAAGCCUGAUCCAGCAAUGCCGCGUGUGUGAAGAAGGUCUUCGGACUGUAAAGCACUUUCGACGGGGACGAUGAUGACGGUACCCGUAGAAGAACGCCCGGCUAACUUCGUGCCAGCAGCCGC